CCUACGGGUGGCAGCAGUGGGGAAUAUUGGACAAUGGGCGAAAGCCUGAUCCAGCCAUGCCGCGUGUGUGAAGAAGGCCUUCGGGUUGUAAAGCACUUUCAGUGGGGAAGAAAGCCUUGGGGCUAAUACCCUCGAGGAAGGACAUCACCCACAGAAGAAGCACCGGCUAACUCCGUGCCAGCAGCCGCGGUAAUACGGAGGGUGCGAGCGUUAAUCGGAAUUACUGGGCGUAAAGCGCGCGUAGGCGGUCUGAUAAGCCGGUUGUGAAAGCCCCGGGCUCAACCUGGGAACGGCAUCCGGAACUGUCAGGAUAGAGUACAGGAGAGGAAGGUAGAAUUCCCGGUGUAGCGGUGAAAUGCGUAGAGAUCGGGAGGAAUACCAGUGGCGAAGGCGGCCUUCUGGACUGACACUGACGCUGAGGUGCGAAAGCGUGGGUAGCAAACAGGAUUAGAUACCCGAGUAGUC
Molecule: ribosomal RNA, 465 nt
Filed under: Vreelandella stevensii
Lineage: Bacteria; Pseudomonadati; Pseudomonadota; Gammaproteobacteria; Oceanospirillales; Halomonadaceae
Description: partial 16S ribosomal RNA
Rfam family: Bacterial small subunit ribosomal RNA
Source: RNAcentral